AACGAACGCUGGCGGCAUGCCUAACACAUGCAAGUCGAGCGAGACCUUCGGGUCUAGUGGCGCACGGGUGCGUAACGCGUGGGAACCUGCCCUUAGGUUCGGAAUAACUCCCCGAAAGGGGUGCUAAUACCGGAGAAUGUCUUCGGACCAAAGAUUUAUCGCCUUUGGAUGGGCCCGCGUUGGAUUAGCUAGUUGGUAGGGUAAAAGCCUACCAAGGCGACGAUCCAUAGCUGGUCUGAGAGGAUGAUCAGCCACACUGGGACUGGGACACGGCCCAGACUCCUACGGGAGGCAGCAGUGGGGAAUAUUGGACAAUGGGCGGAAGCCUGAUCCAGCAAUGCCGCGUGAGUGAUGAAGGCCUUAGGGUUGUAAAGCUCUUUUACCCGGGAUGAUAAUGACAGUACCGGGAGAAUAAGCUCCGGCUAACUCCGUG
This 433-nucleotide ribosomal RNA is filed under the name uncultured bacterium. RNAcentral describes it as "partial 16S ribosomal RNA". It matches the Rfam family "Bacterial small subunit ribosomal RNA", at positions 29 to 507 of the family's 1533-position model. The record is from RNAcentral.